GGAUUAGAUACCCUGGUAGUCCACGCCCUAAACGAUGAGUGCUAGUUGUCGGCAUGCAUGCAUGUCGGUGACGCAGCUAACGCAUUAAGCACUCCGCCUGGGGAGUACGGCCGCAAGGUUAAAACUCAAAGAAAUUGACGGGGGCCCGCACAAGCGGUGGAGCAUGUGGUUUAAUUCGAAGCAACGCGCAGAACCUUACCCACGUUUGACAUCCCGUGCUACCUGGAGAGAUCCAGGGUUCUUCGGACACGGUGACAGGUGCUGCAUGGCUGUCGUCAGCUCGUGUUG
Molecule: ribosomal RNA, 288 nt
Filed under: uncultured bacterium
Lineage: Bacteria
Description: partial 16S ribosomal RNA
Rfam family: Bacterial small subunit ribosomal RNA
Source: RNAcentral